UACGUAGGUGGCAAGCGUUAUCCGGAAUUAUUGGGCGUAAAGAGCGCGCAGGUGGUUAAUUAAGUCUGAUGUGAAAGCCCACGGCUUAACCGUGGAGGGUCAUUGGAAACUGGUUGACUUGAGUGCAGAAGAGGGAAGUGGAAUUCCAUGUGUAGCGGUGAAAUGCGUAGAGAUAUGGAGGAACACCAGUGGCGAAGGCGGCUUCCUGGUCUGCAACUGACACUGAGGCGCGAAAGCGUGGGGAGCGAACAGG
RNAcentral lists this ribosomal RNA (253 nucleotides) under uncultured bacterium. RNAcentral's name for it is "partial 16S ribosomal RNA". It matches the Rfam family "Bacterial small subunit ribosomal RNA", at positions 524 to 776 of the family's 1533-position model. The record is from RNAcentral.